UUGAUAGAGGCGCGGCGUUCAAGAGUAUCCUGCGGAGAGGCAUCGGUGAGGCAGGCGAAAGGGGACGCUGCCGAAGGGACCGGACCGGCGGGUUCUGUCUACUGGGCCUGCCGUGAACAAUGACAGGACUGUCGCUGCCGCGCGGCAGCGGAGAGCUAUCU
This 161-nucleotide non-coding RNA is filed under the name uncultured Succiniclasticum sp. Its description in RNAcentral is "Lysine riboswitch". It matches the Rfam family "Lysine riboswitch aptamer". From Rfam's summary of the family: Riboswitches are metabolite binding domains within certain messenger RNAs that serve as precision sensors for their corresponding targets. Allosteric rearrangement of mRNA structure is mediated by ligand binding, and this results in modulation of gene expression. The record is from RNAcentral. Lineage: Bacteria; Bacillati; Bacillota; Negativicutes; Acidaminococcales; Acidaminococcaceae.